CCAAUAGCGUAUAUUAAAGUUGUUGCAGUUAAAAAGCUCGUAGUUGGAUUUCUGGUAGGAGUGACCGUUCCGAACUUGAUUGUUCGUGUAUUGUGUUUUCUCCAGCCAUCCUUGUGGAGAACUUUUCUUGCAUUAAUUUGUAGGGAUUGGGACCCGCAUCGUUUACUGUGAAAAAAUUAGAGUGUUUAAAGCAGGCAAUCGCUUGAAUACAUUAGCAUGGAAUAAUAAGAUAGGACUUUGGUACUAUUUUGUUGGUUUGCAUACCAAAUUAAUGAUCAACAGGAACAGUUUGAGGAUAUUCGUAUGAACAUGUCAGAGGUGAAAUUCUUGGAUUUUGAUCAGACGAACUACUGCGAAAGCAUUUAUCAAGGAUGUUUUCAUUAA
RNAcentral lists this ribosomal RNA (384 nucleotides) under uncultured eukaryote. RNAcentral's name for it is "partial 18S ribosomal RNA". It matches the Rfam family "Eukaryotic small subunit ribosomal RNA", at positions 591 to 976 of the family's 1831-position model. The record is from RNAcentral.